CCCUGGUGAUGAUUGCGGUAGGGUAACACCUCUUCCCAUUCCGAACAGAGAAGUUAAGACUACCAGCGCCGAAAAUACUGAACAGAAAGUUUGGGAAGAUAGGUCGUCGCCGGGGUU
Molecule: ribosomal RNA, 117 nt
Filed under: candidate division WWE3 bacterium GW2011_GWF1_44_14
Lineage: Bacteria; candidate division WWE3
Source: RNAcentral